RNAcentral lists this long non-coding RNA (7102 nucleotides) under Mytilus galloprovincialis (Mediterranean mussel). Lineage: Eukaryota; Metazoa; Mollusca; Bivalvia; Mytilida; Mytilidae. The record is from RNAcentral.
CGAAACAAAGCUUCACGGGGUAGGCGGUAGAAAAGUAAAGUCAUUGAGAUAUUUUGAUCUCCACAUGGUGAAGAAAUUUAAACCAGACUUUGUUUUCAUACAGAUUGGAGAGAAUGACAUAUGUGACAAAUUAUCUGCAUCACACACAGCCUCAGAGAUUGUACAACUCGCAAAAGAUGUCAAGCGCUUAGGUAUGGAACGCCAACACUGUCUUGUUAUACCCAUUUUUCAUUAUAUGAUGUGCAUUUACCUUUAUAUGAUGUGCACUUGUCAUCAUAUGAUGUGCAAACACCUUUAUAUGAUGUGCAAAUAUCCUUAUAUGAUGUGCAAACAUCCUUAUGUGAUGUGGAAACAUCAUUAUAUGAUGUGCAAACAUCAUUAUAUGAUGUGCAAACAUCAUUAUAUGAUGUGCAAACAUCAUUAUAUGAUGUGCAAACAUACUUAUAUGAUGUGCAUAUAUAUUUAUAUGAUGUGCAAAUAUACUUAUUUGAUGUGCAAACAUUCUUAUAUGAUGUGCAAAUAUACUUAUAUUAUGUUGAAAGAUCCUUAUUCCGAUCUGCUUCUGCGGAGUAACUACUAAUUAGGAUAAAAUCUGAAGCUACCGUUUGGAAAAUGGUUGAGACUUGAGAUAAACCUUGGCAUGUUAGUACCUCGUUUUAAAAUGCAAAAAAUCACAUCUGAUAUUGUUGGAAAAUUGUAAAAAUAUAUAUGAAUUGCAAAGUUUUGUUUAAAUCGACGGGUCUUUAAUAAUGAACAUACGGAGUCUACAAUACGGUUAAGGUUAUUAAAUUUAAGAAAUAAUUCUUUUAUGUCAUGCUCUAUGAAUCGUUUUAACGAGGAAGGCAUUAUAUUUGUCAAUUUCGGUAUACCUAACGUUAGCAUUUUUUCUAUAAGAAGUUAAUACACGAAUUCUAGUAUGAUCAUUUAUGUAAAUAUUGCCUUGCUGAUCAUUUUAGCUGUUCGAGUUUCUCUUUAUAUUUUCUCAAGAUGGACACAAAAGAAUUUGAAAAAAUCGGACUUUGAUAGAGUAAUGGCUCAUAUAAGGAACCGGACAUUUGUAACCAAAAAAAAAGAGGGGAUAGGAAGAAAUAAAGGGGGCCUUUCAUUUUAUCAUUUUAGGAAUGGAAACGUGGCAUUCAAUUUAUAUAGUUAUAAUUUGCCGCGGUAUAAUGUUAUGACAAAUUCUUCGUCAUCCGUAGGCAUCAAUCUUUACGCCUCGUUCCGCUCACCUGAAAUGUUAAAACCUGAAUAUUUAGUUUCAACAAUUUCUUCUAGCAGAGAUUUUUUCAUCUGAUGCUAUUAUUGAAUGAAGGUGUGGUAAAUAUUAAUGAAACCACAAACGGCAAAUCCAAACUAAGUUCCCUGAAGUCGCAAACAACUUUCAUACUUCAGUACUUUGAUUACAUAUGUUCUUGUCUAUACCUUGCAAGAAAAGGUUUCUCUAUCAUUAGUUAUCAAGAUAACAGCCAAUAAAACAACAAAACUCUGAAAAGCCAAAAUUGCCCAAAAAGAACCUUUACUAUAGAGUAUAUGAGCGGCUUCCCAAGAAACCUUUUAUAUUGCGGGUUACUACAUGUCUAGUGGUAUUGCUUUCGUGGUAGCAUGUUCGCCUUGAGUGAGGGAGGUCGUGGGUUCGAACCACGGCCGGGUCAAAACCAAAGACUUUAAAAUUCAUAUUUACAUGCUGCUUCCCAGUUAAGCACGCGGGAUUAGGGAUUAAGAGCAAAAGCUGGUCGGCUCGGAAUCAGAAAAAUGUGUCCGGGUAAGGUGACAUUUAUGCCUUCCUUCGGAAUGCUACCUUUUGAACUAGCAUGUUAAAAAAUCCGGCUCAGGGUGUCGAUCUAGUACAAAACAGGGUUAAUAUUCAUAUCACAUUAACAUAUUCUUGUACGAAUAUGCAUAUAUCAAUUUGCCGCUUGACGUCAAGAAUCCACCCAUAAUCAUCUAUAGUUGAAACUGUGAAAUAUAUGCACAAAAACAUGAUAAAAAGCUGCACGUAAAUGUAAUGAACCGAGUUCAGGUUCAUUCCAUAUCUCCUUUAAUCCAUUUCGGGUGAAAGUGAUGUGCGCUCGGUGGUCGAUUGGUUACAUUGUCAUUUCGGGGCCUUUUAUAGCUGACUAUGCGGUAUGGGCUUUGAUCAUUGUUGAAGGCCGUACGGUGACCUAUAUUUGUUAAUUUCUGUGUCAUUUUGACCUCUUGUGGAGAGUUGUCUCAUUGGCAGUCAUACCUAAUCUUCUUUUUUAUAAGUAGUCGAACUGCUCUAUCACUAGCAUGUCAACACUUAGGUGUGCGAUUUCAAAUCCCGCACGUGGCAGGUAAGCUCGACUCCAAUCUUAAUCUUUCUCCACCAAUAUAAACCACCCCACGAAUAGCAUUGAAAGUGUUGAAAGUGGCGCUAAAUAACAGUCAAUCAAUCAUCCAUACCGGUAACUUAUGGCUCUAAAAUCUAAUAUAUUUAGCUCACAAACAUGUUGACAUCAGUAUAAAGAGAUAUCAAUAAUAACUAUUUACAGUAUAUACAAAACAAGAGAGAGAGGUUUCAAAAUUACUAAGCCAGCUGGAGGACAAACGCACGUGUUUAUACUUUUUUUUAAACGAACAAAGCUUCUUCAGGACUGGGUUUCGAGUACUCGACAUAAGAUCAAAGAAUUUAACUGUGGUGUAUCAUGUCGUUGUAUAAAAUUGGAGGAUAAAUACUUUUUACGUUUUUAUAGUGAUAUACGUCUCCAAUUUGUCGAUUGUUACAUUGAUGGCAAACAUGGUUUUAUCUUAAUACAUUUUGCCACCUUCCUGUUUCUAUCGGCAAUUUGUUAUUAGUCAUUCGAAAUCGACGGAAAACAACGUCAUGUUUAAGGUUCAAAAUAUAAAAAUAUUCCUUAAAUUCCUGGUUUUUCUUUAAAAAUUGAAAUUAAUAGCUUUUGACGAAUUUUGGAUUAGCGAAUUACAGUUCCGAAACUGAAAAACUGGUCUCACACUCACAAUCUUUGCUUUAUACAGGUAACAGUUUUUAGUUCACAAUAUAAUUUGGUGUUGAGGAUUUCAGAUUUAAAAGUAAUUUUCAGAAUUUUAAAUAUAUCUUUUCUAACAUAUACUAUUACUAAAACCCCAUACUUCGCACCCAAUCACCAGAAUGGGCUUGAUAAUUUUGUCAAAAAGAUCAAGUUGACAUUUUACAGAAAUCUUAUACAUCCUUCCUGUUUUCAAGUUUUCGUACAUGGCUUUAAGGCCUUAUCGGAUAAAUGUUUUUUUUGUCAUAUUAAAAUUUCCCGUUUUAGUAACAACAAUUCCCAAAUAGUUAUAUUGUUUUAUCAUCUCAAUAUUAGUAUCAUUGUAAGAAAAUCGGAGAUUUUUUGGCUUCCGUCCAAAAAAAAACCCCACUAAGACUUUAAUUUUGUCAACUUUACUUUCAAGUUCCAAGCCUUACAAUAAUCAUGGAAAGCAUUGAGUUGAGUCUGCAGGUCCUGUACUGUUUCAGCCAACAUAACCGUGUCAUCUGCAAACAAUAUAACAAAACACUUAAGAUAUAUUUCUAAUUCUCUUUCCAGAUCUUCUGGUAUAGUUCUGUUAAGUCCUGUAAUAUUUUUAGUCACUAAGAAAUUAUUUUAGUCAAUCAAAAGUAAAUAAAAUAGGAAAGGUGAUAAGUUUUCUCCUUGUCGAACACCAUUGUCACAAGCAAACAAAGUAUUCCGAAUUAUAAUUACCACCGUGUAUCAUCGGUACAGCGGAUAUAGCUUUAUAGGUACUUCGAAGCGUGAAAAACUAUAUACCGUACAUUCAUUAAACUAUCUACCGUACAGAAGCAUAGGCGGAUCCAGGGGGGGGGCCUCUUUCGUGGGAAAAAUUUGGUUGAUUAUAUAGGGAAUCAUUGAAGCAUGACUGGAGCGCCCCCCCCCCUUAGGUCAGUCAGCGGGCCCCCCUUAGGAAAAGUUCUGGAUCCGCCACUGAGAAGGAUUUAUGUGGUCAGUUAUACACAACGCUUCUUGUCGGAAUAAAAUAUCGAAAGAUAACAUAUGUAUAAAAUAUUUCAAUGCCAAUUAUUGAAACAGCUAUACUUAUUAUACUUAUUACGCACAAACAGUGGCCUUCUAUCAGAAAAAGAGUUGCAAUGAAUAUAGAAUCAUAUCGGAUGAGACGAGCGCCAACUUUUUGACAAGUAUUUGCACAUGUUUUAGUUAGCGUUCUUGUUUUGGGAAAAUAGUGAGACUUCUCUAAUCACCAACCUACGACCAAAUUAUUUCUUAAAACAACAAUUAUGUUUAGAUUGAAGUACACAUUGAUAUUAUGUAAGCAAAACAAAGAUUUUCGUACCGUGUCAGAAGAAAAAUCGAUCACGACCGCUUGGUUGGUACCUAUAUCCGCUGUACCGAUGAUACACGGAGAUGCCAGAGAGUGGGCAAGUGUUGAAACAAAGAGUGAUGACACAGUAAUAAGGUGGACACAGUAAUGACAAGGUUAGUAAAAUUGAGAAUGGAAAUGGGGAAUGUGUCAAAGAGACAACAACCCGACCAAAUAAAAAAACAACAGCAGAGGGUCACCAACAGGUUUUCAAUGUAGCGAGAAAUUCCCGCACCCGGAGGCGUCCUUCAGCUGGCCCCUAAACAAAUAUAUACUAGUCCAGUGAUAAUGAACGUCAUACUAAUUUCCAAAUUGUACACAAGAAACUAAAAUUAGAAUAAUACAAGACUAACAAAGGCCAGAGGCUCCUGACUUGGGACAGGCGCAAAAAUGCGGCGGGGUUAAACAUGUUUGUGAGAUCUCAACCCUCCCCCUAUACCUCUAACCAAUGUAGAAAAGUAAACGCAUAACAAUACGCACAUUAAAAUUCAGUUCAAGAGAAGUCCGAGUCUGAAGUCAGAAAAUGUAACCAAAGAAAAUAUAAACAAAAUGACAAUAAUACAUAAAUAACAACAGACUACUAGCAGUUAACUGACAUGCCAGCUUCAGACUUCAAUUAAACUGAUUGACUAAUGAUUUUUAUUCUAUUUUUUUAAAGAGACGAAAAAGAGGAACAAAAUACUUAAGACGGGCGUCACCCCAUUCAUCUCGGUUGGAAAAUAAAAAUAUUAAAUACCCUAAAUUGGAAAAAGUGUGGCAAAGUGUGAUUUUCAGUGGGUUUUUCCCCUUUUAACUCAAUAACUGUAUCGUCUACGUAAAAUCCGUUGACAUUACCGAAAAGGAUCAAAAUGAGUACCACAAUAGGAAAAAUCCGAUCUAAUCGGACGAAAAAUUAAAUCUCAAACACUUCAUCAGGAAUCAACCCCUUGUAUCUCAGAAAUCGUUGACGCUACUCCAAAUCUGUUGACAUACUCAUGGUUCAGAAUUUUAUUAGCAAUUAAAAAAAUCUCCAUUAAAAUAAGUUGAAAAUAAAAAAAAAUCUGUAUAUGCAAAUAUGUGCUCAUUGUUGAAGACCGUACGGUGACCUAUAGUUAUUAAUUUCUGUGUCAUUUGGUCUGUUGUGGAGAGUUGUCUCAUUAGCAAAGAUACCACAUCUUCUUUUUUAUAAUUUACCCAACAUAGCCAUUUCACAUUUCGCGGGCACUACGUCGACUAAGCUUGCAGUCUUCGAAAUUGGGUAUUUUCUCACAUAAUUGACGUUUUCUGUGGAAAAAUAUUGGUUCAAAGACAAAUUAAAGAAGUAAAAAAACACUACAUGUAUACGUCAUAUCACAAAUAUUCCGACUUUGUAUGGUUUUAGAGGAGUUGCGGCUCAAUGAAAUCGGUCUCUUCCUUUAGAAGCAUAGAUUAUAUGAUAUACUAGAUUUAAUAUCAUUGUACAUAUUCAAUACUACAUUAUACAUCUUACCAUUUACAGAUUAAUAUUAUUCAAUAACAUUUUAUAAAACAAACCAUCUAGCCAUAUUAUGCAUCAGUAGAUAAUUUUAUAGCUAUUGUUAUGAACUAUUUUUGAAACUGACUGUGAUUUCAAUGGUGUCUUUUGCAAUGAAUAUAAAUAAGAAGAUGUGGUAUGAGAGCCACUGAGACAACUCUCUAUCCAUGUCAUAAUUUGUAAGAGGAAACUAUUAUAGGUCAAAGUACGACCUUCAACACGGAGCCUAUGCUUAAACCGAAUAGCAAGCCAUAAACAGCUCUUAAAUUUGUUUUAUCAUUUUCUCCACAGCCGGGUUAAUAAGUUACAGAAGCAGAUCGGAAUCAGUUAUGACGUAGACAGUAAUCAUUCUAAUCGUAAUCAUGUUCAUUGACCAUCACGACGAUGAAAGCACAUCAUAUAAUGAAGUUUCGACAUCAUAUAAUGAAGUAAACCUAACCACAUCAUAUAAGAUUACAAGCACAUAAUAUAAUGACACAACCACAUCAUAUAAAGAUGUUUGCACGUAAUAUAAGGGAAACUGCACAUCAUAUAAUGAUAUGUACACAUCAUAUAAGGAUCUUUGCACAUCAUAUAAGUAUAUUUGCACAUCAUAUAAUAAUGUUUGCACAUCAUAUAAGAAUGUUUGCACAGCAUAUAAGUAUAUUUGCACAUCAAAUAAGGAUCUUUGCACAUAAUAUAAGUACAUUUGCACAUCAUAUGAUAAUGUUUGCACAUCAUAUAAUAAUGUUUGCACAUCAUAUAAUAAUGUUUGCACAUCAUAUAAGUAUAUUUGCACAUCAUAUAAGUAUAUUUGCACAUCAUAUAAGUAUAUAUGCACAUUAUUUAAGGAUAUUUGCACAUCAUAUAAAGGUGUUUGCACAUCAUAUAAUGACAAGUCCACAUCAUAUAAAGGUAAAUGCACAUCAUAUAAAGGUAAAUGCACAUCAUAUAAAGGUAAUUACACAUCAUAUAAUGAAAAUGGUCAUAGCAAGACAGUGUUGGCGUUCCAUACUUAGGUGUUCCUUCUGUAGUUAUAGGCUCCAAUAUCGUCAGACUAAAAACAAGAAACAUGAAAGAAACAACUUAUGAUAGAAAAAAAAAGAAGAUUAAUAAAGAACUCAGCAACAUAAAGAUGAGUGGUGUCAAGUAUUGGAGACAUCAAAGCACGUGGCAGAAGACUAAAUACUUUGAUAAAGACGGGGUACAUCUAAAUGACGAUGGACAAUUUAAAUUCUUCUGUUCUAUUCGCAUGUGUGCAAAACUGUACUUGUAAAGUGUACAAUUAUGUGCAAU